This is a long non-coding RNA of Oreochromis niloticus (Nile tilapia), 984 nucleotides long. The record is from Ensembl. Lineage: Eukaryota; Metazoa; Chordata; Actinopteri; Cichliformes; Cichlidae.
AACCCCAUUUAUUGUGUAAUUCACUAACACAAAAUGACUGCAAGGUUGUGAGGGAUAUGGACUUGCCAAGUGAUCUUAGUGUCUUUGCAACUGAGCACACUCUACCACCAACAAGGACAGCUCACCAGUGGGAGCUGAUAAUAAGACUGCUCUCAUCCAUUGAAGAGCUGACCAGAAACGUGAACAGAGAGACUGCAACUGCACCUGAUGGGAUCCCUGCCAUAACAGAUGUGUUCUGUCCAGUGAAGGCAGUGGAGAAGCCCUACACUGAUCUUGAAACUGUGCCACGCUAGUAGAGACCGGCUACAAGGAUGGGCAGCUGUUUUCGCAAAGUCAGCCAACCACUUGCUUCCAAAUGACCCUUAUCCAGAAGUAUCCGUGAGUGCCUCAUCAACAGAAACUAAAGUGGAGACCUACCUCUCAGAGAAAAACGCACACAUAAGAAAAGCCGACCCACUUCAGUACUGGAAGAACAUCCUAAUCUGUUUCCCUCUAUGGCUGCUGUUGCGAUCCCAGUGUGCCCCCUGUAGCUCUGUGGACAGUUUUGGAUUUGUUUACAUCUCCCCAACCGGUCGCGGCAGAUGGCCGCCCUCCCUGAGCCUGGUUCUGCCGGAGGUUUCUUCCUGUCAAAGGGAGUUUUUCCUUCCCACUGUCGCCAAAGUGCUUGCUCAUAGGGGGUCAUAUGAUUGUUGGGUUUAUUAUAUACAUUAAUGCUUGUAUGCUUUUCAUUUAUACUUUGCCUUACUCUUCAGUUCAUAAUAUAAAGUUACUUGAAUGGUUUCCUUUUCGUUUUCCUUUUUUAUUUUAUAUUGCUUUGCUAUUUACCACAAUCUAAAUAUCAUGUUUAAAUGUCAUACAUUAUUGUAAAUGGUAUCUGUACAAAAUAUUGUUUGAAUAACAUGAUACAUUUAUUAGUCCCACAACGGGAAAUUUCAUAAUUUGCAUGUGGUAUUUUCCCUUUGACAUUAAAUACCUUUGAAAUAC